UAUUAUUCUUAAAUAAAUUUAUAAUCUUAGGUUAGUAAUAGUUAUUUACUUAAAAGCUAAAAAAUUUGGCGGUAAUUUAAUCUUCUCAGAGGAACUUGUUUUUUAAUCGAUAAUCCCCGAAAUAUCUUACUUAUUUUAUUCAAGUUUGUAUACCAUCAUUAUCAGGUAAUUUUUAAAAAAUAAAUUAUUAUGAGUAAAAUUAAUUAAAAAAAUUAGAUCAAGGUGCAGCUUAUAAAUAAGUUAAAAUGAGUUACAAUAAAUUUUUUUAUAUGGAUAGGCAAAAG
RNAcentral lists this ribosomal RNA (284 nucleotides) under Fabia emiliai. Its description in RNAcentral is "partial 12S ribosomal RNA". The record is from RNAcentral. Lineage: Eukaryota; Metazoa; Arthropoda; Malacostraca; Decapoda; Pinnotheridae.